Molecule: ribosomal RNA, 482 nt
Filed under: uncultured bacterium
Lineage: Bacteria
Description: partial 16S ribosomal RNA
Rfam family: Bacterial small subunit ribosomal RNA
Source: RNAcentral
GACGAACGCUGGCGGCGUGCUUAACACAUGCAAGUCGAACGCUGAAGCUCAGCUUGCUGGGUGGAUGAGUGGCGAACGGGUGAGUAACACGUGAGUAACCUGCCCUCUUCUUUGGGAUAACGCCCGGAAACGGGUGCUAAUACUGGAUAUUCACUGAUUCUCGCAUGGGGGUUGGUGGAAAGGUUUUUUCUGGUGGGGGAUGGGCUCGCGGCCUAUCAGCUUGUUGGUGGGGUGAUGGCCUACCAAGGCUUUGACGGGUAGCCGGCCUGAGAGGGUGACCGGGCACAUUGGGACUGAGAUACGGCCCAGACUCAUACGGGAGGCAGCAGUGGGGAAGAUUGCACGAUGGGCGAAAGCCUGAUGCAGCGACGCCGCGUGAGGGAUGGAGGCCUUCGGGUUGUAAACCUCUUUCGCUCAUGGUCAAGCCGCAGCGUUGGGUUGUGGUGAGGGUAGUGGGUAAAGAAGCGCCGGCUAACUACGUG